UACGGAAGGCAGCAGUGGGGAAUAUUGCACAAUGGGCGCAAGCCUGAUGCAGCCAUGCCGCGUGUAUGAAAAAGGCCUUCGGGUUGUAAAGUACUUUCAGUCGUGAGGAAGGUGUUAAGGUUAAUAACCUUAGCAAUUGACGUUAGCGACAGAAGAAGCACCGGCUAACUCCGUGCCAGCAGCCGCGGUAAUACGGAGGGUGCGAGCGUUAAUCGGAAUUACUGGGCGUAAAGGGCACGCAGGCGGUUAAUUAAGUUGGAUGUGAAAUCCCCGGGCUUAACCUGGGAAUGGCAUUCAAGACUGGUUAGCUAGAGUCUUGUAGAGGGGGUAGAAUUCCAUGUGUAGCGGUGAAAUGCGUAGAGAUGUGGAGGAAUACCGGUGGCGAAGGCGGCCCCUGGACAAAGACUGACGCUCAUGUGCGAAAGCGUGGGGAGCGAAACAGGGAUUAGGAUACC
This 455-nucleotide ribosomal RNA is filed under the name uncultured bacterium. RNAcentral describes it as "bacterial SSU rRNA". It matches the Rfam family "Bacterial small subunit ribosomal RNA", at positions 340 to 786 of the family's 1533-position model. The record is from RNAcentral.